This 309-nucleotide ribosomal RNA is filed under the name uncultured soil bacterium. RNAcentral's name for it is "bacterial SSU rRNA". It matches the Rfam family "Bacterial small subunit ribosomal RNA", at positions 26 to 363 of the family's 1533-position model. The record is from RNAcentral.
AGAACGAACGCUGGCGGCAUGCCUAACACAUGCAAGUCGAACGAGACCUUCGGGUCUAGUGGCGCACGGGUGCGUAACGCGUGGGAAUCUGCCCUUGGGUUCGGAAUAACAGCGAGAAAUUGCUGCUAAUACCGGAUGAUGACGUAAGUCCAAAGAUUUAUCGCCCAAGGAUGAGCCCGCGUAGGAUUAGCUUGUUGGUGAGGUAAGAGCUCACCAAGGCGACGAUCCUUAGCUGGUCUGAGAGGAUGAUCAGCCACACUGGGACUGAGACACGGCCCAGACUCCUACGGGAGGCAGCAGUGGGGAAUA